Oncorhynchus nerka (sockeye salmon) is the source of this 1411-nucleotide long non-coding RNA. RefSeq lists it as uncharacterized. The transcript is spliced from 2 exons. The record is from RefSeq and is a predicted model, not a curated record. Lineage: Eukaryota; Metazoa; Chordata; Actinopteri; Salmoniformes; Salmonidae.
GGAGAGGUAGGAUUUUCACUGCUGUGCAGGAAACUGCAAUCGUUGAUAUGGUCAUCAGAAACAAUGGCAUAAAACUCACAGAGAUUCGGGACAGAGUGUUGGCAGACAACAUUACAUUUGGAAAUAUUCACAACGUAAGCAUAACAACUAUUUCUAGAGUCCUGAAACAACAUCAAGUCAGGAUGAAGCAGUUGUACUCUGUCCCCUUUGAGAGGAACUCUGAAUGAGUCAAGCAACUCAGGAACCAAUAUGUCCAGAGAGUCAUGGAGAUUGAAGCCAGGCAAACACCCCACAUAUUCAUCUUUGUGGAUGAGGCUGGUUUCAACAUGGCCAAAACACAGCAGCGAGGAAGGAAUGUGACUGGGAAAAGAGCCACAGUGGAUGUCCCGGGCCAGAGGGGUGCCAACAUCACAAUGUGUGCAGCAAUAUCCUCUGAUUGAUUGCUUUUACACAAAUUGAGCCAUACAACACUGUUGUCAUUCAUUCUUGGAUGCCCGCCAUGGAAGGGUUGUGCCAGGUGAAGAAAGGGUUGCAGUGAAUCGGCCAAUGUUUGUAAUUGUGUGGGACAAUGUAACAUUUCACCACUCCCAUGCAGUCACAGAGUGGUUUGCACCCAUCCCAGGAUGGUGUCACUUUUCCUCCCACAUUACUCUCCAUUCUUCAACCCCAUAGAGGAAUUAUUUUCCUCAUGGAGGUGGAAGGUUUAUGACCACCAUCCACAUGAUCAAAUGUCCCUCCUGGACGUAAUGAAUGCUGGAUGCCUGGACAUAUCUGCAGAAGAUUGCACGGAAUGGACCAGGCUUGCCAAAAUAUUCUUUCCUAGGUGUAUUGCCCAAGAUGUGGAUGUGGAUGAGAACCUGUGGCCAAAUGCAGAAGACAGGGUUGACCAGCAUUGCUACUGUAUCUGUAUUGGUAGAUGGUGUAUAUACACAUUUUUGUAUUUGGAAUCACUCAAUGCAAAAAAAUGACAUAAACAUAUUGAAGCAUAUUGCAUGAUGUCUGAUUAAUUCCUGUAACAUAUACUGCAGUGAAUUCUAUACAGUAGAGAGGUGUCAUUCUUGUUUUGUAAAGUCAUUUUGCCAAAAAAAACAUUGUGAAAUCUUCCUGUUGUUAGUGUUUUUUAGGUAGUUGUUUUAUGAGUGACAAAGAGUACUUGUUGGGUGACAACCUUUGCUAGUGUUAUGGAAGAAUGGGACGAUUUGAGACAUGUAUGAAGUGUUUUGGUAGUUUUAGUGCAUUUUGGAUGUGAAAUGAACUGCUGUGCCAAGCUGAAAGUUGGUUAAGAGAACUGUGUGAAGUGUUUCGAAAAAGUGACCGAAGUAUUGGGAAAUGGGUCCUAGCGAUUGUAAAAAACUGUAAACAGCAUGGUUAUUAAACAGGUGCACCUUGUGCUGGGUACAAUAAAAGGCCA